GCCUUCGCACCUGCAGUACUAUAUUGGGCGUAGGAGGCCAUUUUAAAGGUUGGGAAGAGGUAUGACACAAAUCAUGGGAUUCGGUUUCCAAGGAUGCUUAGCUGGACGAGCAAGGGUGAUAUAGGGAAGAAAGAACUCAGUGCAUUAUUUUCUAGACAGAAUCUUGAAGUGGUGAAGGGGCUACUUCCACGAACAGAAGAAGAGGCAUUUGUGAGGACCAUCUCUUACAAAGGUGUGGAAAACCUAGUUGAUGUUGGUGUGGAUGACACAGAGGCUGAGGCAGAUACUUAGGUACCAGACACUCAGAUUUUUUUAGGCCAUUGGUUCAGACCCUCAGCCCAGUGCACCAUCUUUAUCAGGCGUUCAUGGUGCCGAGUACAGUGAUUUAGUGGAAAGGUUGGAUAGGAUCGAGGCUAACCAGAAAGGUAUGUACGCUUGUCAUGCCAAGCUGAAGAUGGCAUAUGAGACCAGCAAUAUAGAGUUGAAGGCUGGUCAGAACCUAAUUAUGGAGCAGCUCAUAAAUAUAUUGACCAUGUUGCAUCGUCCGCCAACGACAACUUCAGCACCAGAGGCCCCAGCAGAUCCAUCUACCUCACUACCAGCUGCAUCACCCCCACUACAAGAGGAGGAGGUCUUUCCAGACGGGUAUGAUCCUUAUUAGGGAGCUCCAGCUAAUCCUAUCGGUGCAAGUGUUAUCUGUUUAGAUGACAGCGAGUCCCAGGGUGAAAUUUUGGCAAUAGAGGCACAACCUGCAGGGGUUAAGAGAGGGAAGAGGAAGAGAAAUCCCCCUGUAUGGUUUCGUGACUACACGGAGAUGAAGAAGAAACAGAGGCCUUCUUCGAGGUUUGAUCCCCUGGCGCCACCGGAUGAACGAUUGUUGGAUACUUUCCGAAAGUGGUAUUCUGAACUCAUUCCCAACCACUGGCUUCGGGAUUUGAAAAGUGGUGAUUACGGUCCAUCGUUCUUUUGGAAGGUGUUGACACUACAGGAGUGGCUUACAGAUGACAUGCAGCAGUCCAUAUGCUGAGGAGGCGACGCGCCGACUAUCCACUAACAUUUCCUCAAAAGGGUAUCAUUCUCUCUACAUUCGUUACCAGCAUGAUCAACAGUGCAUGGACGAAUCACAAGGGUCCCAGGAGAAACUUUGUGUGGGAGGAUUAUAUCCUGGAGUACUGCAGAGGUGUUCAUCAGACCCAGUUCUUUCCGAGAUGGAGGGGGAAUGAGUUCAUUUACUUCAUUUUGCAUCUUCCCGACCAUAGGCACUGGGUCACUAUUGAAGUUGACAUAGAGCUGUGGAAAAUUAAUUUGUACGACUGUGAUUCCAGCAUUUGUCAUUAGACCGCCAUGGCACCCAUCUUGAAGACUUGGGAAGAACUUUUGCCCUCACUAAUCCAUGCAACUGUGGAUUUUCCACUUAAUAAACAGAUCAUGGCAUUAACAAAUAAGGAGAUCAACGUGCUUUUGAAUAUGCAUGCGAGUCGAGCCACUCACGACUUAGUUCCGAAGGCAACAAUUAGCGGUGAUUGUGGCGUUUAUUGCAUUGAGUAUGUGGAGCAUCUCAUGAUGCGACGUGGAUUAACUGAUGUCACGCAAGGCCGGAUGAAGUUGUUUCGUGAACGGUGGUGUGUUGAUUUGUUUUACCAGAAUGUCGGCUGAUUAUAUGUGUAAUUAUAGUGACAUUGUAUGUUUUUUGUAAUUAAAAAUACAGUUAUAUAUUCUGUUUACUUAAAAAUAUUUUUUUUGGUA
This is a long non-coding RNA of Cannabis sativa, 1746 nucleotides long. RefSeq lists it as uncharacterized. The transcript has 6 exons. The record is from RefSeq and is a predicted model, not a curated record. NCBI's taxonomy places the organism in Eukaryota, Viridiplantae, Streptophyta, Magnoliopsida, Rosales, Cannabaceae.